Molecule: long non-coding RNA, 2634 nt
Organism: Perognathus longimembris pacificus (Pacific pocket mouse)
Lineage: Eukaryota; Metazoa; Chordata; Mammalia; Rodentia; Heteromyidae
Exons: 3
Source: RefSeq, a predicted model, not a curated record
AAAUUUCAAUAUUUUGCUAACUUGUAGAAUGUAAGUAUUUGAUAUAAAUGAAUGAAAUUAUCAGAUUAGAUACUAAAGGACGUAUUUUUUACAUUUCUUACAAUAGCUAGUAUUCAUCCAGUGCCUAUUUAUACCAGGGACUGUGCUUAUUCUGUGUACAGUAUUUAAUCCUCACAAAUUAAGUAUUAUUCCCAUAAUGAAGAAACUGAGGCUUAGAGAUAUAAAGUAGCUUUUCCACUGUUACAGAACUAGAAAGUAACAUGACUAGAAUUUGUACUCAAAGCCUGUGUAUUCAUUUGUAUUAUGUCAGCUUUGGAGUUAGUCAUUCAGCACUGUUUUUCUUUUUAAACAUAUGACAUAUGGCAUCUGAUCCUAUUAGCCAGUAAUAGGGUAAUCAGUCAAAUUGUCAUAGUGAGUGUUAAAUUGUGGUUCUCAUAUUCUUUCCUGGGGGCGUGUUUAAAUGAAGGUCUUAAGAUUUCCAAGCCCAGAAGUUCUGAUUUAGCAUGGGUCCAGGAAGAUGCACUCUUGCCAGACACAACAAGGGGUAGGGAACCUUUUUCUCUCAAGGGCCAGUUGGGUAUUAUAACAUUUAUUCAUAGGCCAUACAAAUUUUAUCAAUCCAGGCAGAUAGGCUGAGGGAAGCCAGUGAAAAAUCAUAUAUGUAUCCCUCUUCAUGUAUAAAAUGAUUUUGUGGGCUUAAUGUAGCCUAUGAGCCUCUGCCUUCAAGGAGCAUAACCUGGGAACAUAUUGGAAACGGAACUCCUCUUCAGCUCUCUACCCAGACGUACCCGAUCUGAAACUCCAAGGCAGAGGUAUAUUUAAACAGGCCCUGUGUAUGAGGUUUAUUCAUCUUAGUUCAAGAACCACUGUCCAACUACCUACAUGGUUCUGGUGCAAAUAGUCUUUGGAACAUGCUCAAGAUUACUGUCCCAUGAUGAGAGGUAAAUUUAAAGACUUAAAACAUGUUUUAAAAUCAGUAGUCUAGGGUCAAACUAUUAAUUUGUCAAUGGGUCAUUUAUUUUUGCAAAAAUUCUUCAGACUUUCUAGCUAAUAUCUGUGAAAUCUGUAAUUUUCCAAGAUUAGAAAUUUCACAUCUGUCAAGAAGGGUUUAUUAAUUAUUAAUAAAUUCAUUCUUUAAUAAUGUAGGUCUCACCCCAAAUGUCAAAUUUUAUAACUUAACAAAAUGCUGUUUUACAGUAUGGCAGAAUAUGUUUUGCCAAUUCAUACUAUCAAUUCAAAUCUAUCACUUUGAAGCAUCAUUUGUUCUAUAAGAUCUAAUAAAGCAAAAAAAAUCAAAUAUUUCAUCGAGCAAAUUAAGAAAGACCUCACAGUGAUAAUUAUUUCUUUUAGAUUAAGAUCUCUGUCAUUUGGAAAAACGAUUUCAAUAUGAUCCUAAAACAGAAAUCUUAAUGUCUUAUGUUCUCUAGUAACAGUAUAUUUACAUGUUCUAAUGAGUCCAUAAAUACAUCUCUUUUCAAAUACCUUACAUUUCAGGUGUUUUGUUACUCUAGUAAAAUUAGAAAAUAAAUCAUUGACCAAUUAUAUCAUGUUUUUAACAUGGUAAUUGGACUUGAGCUUUACAUUUGUUUGCUUGUUAUUUUCAUAAUUGAUUCUUGAGUGUUGGUUUCACUUCCUUGAACCUACCAAUCUAUAUUACCAGAUUGAGGCCCUACUGUACUUGAGAGACUCCCUCACUUGUUUGACCACAUCAUCGCUAAGCCAUUAUUCUUCACUUAAAUUUCCAGAUCAUUAGAUCUUUAUUCUGUCUUUGACAAUGUCUGUUGCUUUGUACUUACUGCUUUUAUUUCUUAUAACUAAUGUUUUCUAACUACUCUUAAUGCUGUCUUUUUAAGGUUAAUUUGGCUGUUUUUAGUUAUUAGAAUUUGUAUCACUUGCUGACAAUUUUAUAUUACUAAAUUUAGGUUUCCCUAGGGGAUUAAAAGUCUUAAGAAUAAUGUCUGCUAGGGAUUCUUGCCCUACUUAAGAAACUACAAUUUUCAACUAAUCUAUGUCUACAGUUACUAAAGGAAAUAGUUAUUUGGGUCCUCACCACUCAGCUUCCUCUUGAAAACAAAAACCAAACUCAUUUGGCUUUGUUUCUCCAUUUACAUAUUAGAAACAUGUACAGUAAAUCUUGGGUGACAACCUGUGGUAUUUUCUAUUGAUUUAACAGUGAUUUGUGUUUAUUAUCAGAGUUGAUAGAGAAAUUUUAGCACAAGUGAAUUAAGAGUUUCUCCAAAUUCUCUUCAAAGAAACCAACUCUAAAACUAGUUUUAGAGUUGAGGUGUGCUCUGUUUCAAUUUUCUUACCUCUUGUUUCCAGAUUAUAAAUUAGAAUCAUUUUGCAGGACCCUACAAAUUUAUAAUCUACAGGAAGUAUGUCAUUAGAGGGAAACUAAUCUUACUGCUAAGCAGUGUAUUGUACUAUACAGUGAAUGUUUGUGUUUUGGAAUUUAAAAAUUAUUUAAAGUAAUAGUGUUGUGAAUGAUUUUUAAAUGUCUGGUGAGUUGCUUAUUUUAAGUGAUCACCAUUAAAGUUAGAAAAAUGUUAUUUCUAAAUGUUUUUUUAAAGUGCCUUUUAAAAAAUUUUUAAUGAUGGAUUUAAAAACUGCAUAAAAUAAAUUACUGUGUUCAAA